Non-coding RNA from Dallia pectoralis (Alaska blackfish), 74 nucleotides. NCBI's taxonomy places the organism in Eukaryota, Metazoa, Chordata, Actinopteri, Esociformes, Umbridae. The record is from the annotation of a GenBank genome assembly.
GUUUCUGUAGUGUAGUAGUUAUUACGUUUGUCUAACACGCGAAAGGUCCCCUGUUUCGAGACCGGGCAGAAACA